RNAcentral lists this ribosomal RNA (1426 nucleotides) under Pseudomonas azotoformans. RNAcentral describes it as "bacterial SSU rRNA". It matches the Rfam family "Bacterial small subunit ribosomal RNA". Lineage: Bacteria; Pseudomonadati; Pseudomonadota; Gammaproteobacteria; Pseudomonadales; Pseudomonadaceae. The record is from RNAcentral.
GCAAGUCGAGCGGUAGAGAGAAGCUUGCUUCUCUUGAGAGCGGCGGACGGGUGAGUAAUGCCUAGGAAUCUGCCUGGUAGUGGGGGAUAACGUUCGGAAACGGACGCUAAUACCGCAUACGUCCUACGGGAGAAAGCAGGGGACCUUCGGGCCUUGCGCUAUCAGAUGAGCCUAGGUCGGAUUAGCUAGUUGGUGAGGUAAUGGCUCACCAAGGCGACGAUCCGUAACUGGUCUGAGAGGAUGAUCAGUCACACUGGAACUGAGACACGGUCCAGACUCCUACGGGAGGCAGCAGUGGGGAAUAUUGGACAAUGGGCGAAAGCCUGAUCCAGCCAUGCCGCGUGUGUGAAGAAGGUCUUCGGAUUGUAAAGCACUUUAAGUUGGGAGGAAGGGUUGUAGAUUAAUACUCUGCAAUUUUGACGUUACCGACAGAAUAAGCACCGGCUAACUCUGUGCCAGCAGCCGCGGUAAUACAGAGGGUGCAAGCGUUAAUCGGAAUUACUGGGCGUAAAGCGCGCGUAGGUGGUUUGUUAAGUUGGAUGUGAAAUCCCCGGGCUCAACCUGGGAACUGCAUUCAAAACUGACUGACUAGAGUAUGGUAGAGGGUGGUGGAAUUUCCUGUGUAGCGGUGAAAUGCGUAGAUAUAGGAAGGAACACCAGUGGCGAAGGCGACCACCUGGACUAAUACUGACACUGAGGUGCGAAAGCGUGGGGGAGCAAACAGGAUUAGAUACCCUGGUAGUCCACGCCGUAAACGAUGUCAACUAGCCGUUGGAAGCCUUGAGCUUUUAGUGGCGCAGCUAACGCAUUAAGUUGACCGCCUGGGGAGUACGGCCGCAAGGUUAAAACUCAAAUGAAUUGACGGGGGCCCGCACAAGCGGUGGAGCAUGUGGUUUAAUUCGAAGCAACGCGAAGAACCUUACCAGGCCUUGACAUCCAAUGAACUUUCUAGAGAUAGAUUGGUGCCUUCGGGAACAUUGAGACAGGUGCUGCAUGGCUGUCGUCAGCUCGUGUCGUGAGAUGUUGGGUUAAGUCCCGUAACGAGCGCAACCCUUGUCCUUAGUUACCAGCACGUAAUGGUGGGCACUCUAAGGAGACUGCCGGUGACAAACCGGAGGAAGGUGGGGAUGACGUCAAGUCAUCAUGGCCCUUACGGCCUGGGCUACACACGUGCUACAAUGGUCGGUACAGAGGGUUGCCAAGCCGCGAGGUGGAGCUAAUCCCAUAAAACCGAUCGUAGUCCGGAUCGCAGUCUGCAACUCGACUGCGUGAAGUCGGAAUCGCUAGUAAUCGCGAAUCAGAAUGUCGCGGUGAAUACGUUCCCGGGCCUUGUACACACCGCCCGUCACACCAUGGGAGUGGGUUGCACCAGAAGUAGCUAGUCUAACCUUCGGGAGGACGGUUACCACGGUGUGAUUCAUGACUG